AAAUCAACACUUGAUCUGCUACAGCUAUCUGUCAUCAUUGCAUUCAAAUUCAUGCCCAGUAGGUUUAUAUUUCCUUUCCAGCAGAACCAGCAAUUUGUCCUGCUUUAAAGAUCUGCCCAAGGGUAAGGCCUGAGUGAUGCUGAGGACACAUAAUGCCCUUGUUCCCAGGAAGAGGAGAAAGCACUGGGGUCUUCUGAUUAAACAAUUCAUCAAGAAGAUAGAUGGCAAGCCCUUUGGUAGUCAUGCCUAAAAGGUCAGAAGAUGCUGGCCAGAAGAAGGGAAAAAAAGAGAAAGAAACAAAAACAAACAAGGGACUUGAAAGUACUGUGAGAAUCCAAAGCCUGGCAUUAGAUUUGGCAACAGGGCCGGCGCUGUGGCACAGUGGGUGAACGCCCUGGCCUGAAGCACCAGCAUCCCAUAUAGAUGCUGGUUCGAGUCCCAGCUGCUCCUCUUCCGAUCCAGCUCUCUGCUAUGGCCUGGGAAAGCAGUAGAAGAUGGCCCAAGUCCUUGGGCCCCUGCACCCAUGUGGGAGACCCGGAAGAAGCUCCUGGCUUUUGGCUUCGGAUCAGCACAGCUCCAGCAACUGCGGCCAACUGGAGAGUGAACCAUUGGAUGGAAGACCUCUCUCUCUCUCUCUCUCGCUCUUUCUCUGCUUCUCUCUCUGUGUA
This is a long non-coding RNA of Lepus europaeus (European hare), 668 nucleotides long. RefSeq lists it as uncharacterized. The transcript has 3 exons. The record is from RefSeq and is a predicted model, not a curated record. Lineage: Eukaryota; Metazoa; Chordata; Mammalia; Lagomorpha; Leporidae.